AACGCCGACGCCGGAGAGCUGCGUGAUGCGUUUCAGUUGUACGAUGGGGAUAAGAACGGGUUGAUCUCGGCGGUAGAGCUCCACCAGGUGUUGAAGCAGUUGGGGGAGAAGUGCUCGGUGCAGGACUGUCAGAAGAUGAUCGGAUCUUUUGACUCCGACGGGGACGGCAAUAUUAGCUUUGACGAGUUCAAGGAGAUGAUGACCAAAUCCAGCCCUAAACAGCGUCAACAGUGAUGUACGGUGAUUCACUGCUGAGGCGCAUGGAUUCUUGGUAGCCGCCACCACAUGGGAUCCCUUCGCUGCAGCGCACGGUCUCAAACUGUCACGUAUCAGUGUUAGAUUUCUGGCUUUUGCAAUAAUAUUCAAC
This 367-nucleotide long non-coding RNA is filed under the name Vitis vinifera (wine grape). RNAcentral's name for it is "long non-coding RNA (VVIN_LNC005635)". The record is from RNAcentral. Lineage: Eukaryota; Viridiplantae; Streptophyta; Magnoliopsida; Vitales; Vitaceae.